AGAGUUUGAUCCUGGCUCAGGAUGAACGCUAGCGGCAGGCCUAACACAUGCAAGUCGAGGGGUAACAGAGAUUGCUUGCAAUCUGCUGACGACCGGCGCACGGGUGCGUAACGCGUAUGCAACCUACCUCUAACAGGAGGAUAGCCCCGAGAAAUCGGGAUUAAUACUCCAUAAUAUUUUGAAGCCGCAUGGUUUUGAUCUUAAAGAAUUUCGGUUAGAGAUGGGCAUGCGUCCCAUUAGCUAGUUGGUAAGGUAACGGCUUACCAAGGCUACGAUGGGUAGGGGGCCUGAGAGGGUGAUCCCCCACACUGGUACUGAGACACGGACCAGACUCCUACGGGAGGCAGCAGUGAGGAAUAUUGGUCAAUGGACGCAAGUCUGAACCAGCCAUGCCGCGUGAAGGGUGAAGGCUCUAGUAGUCGUAAACUUCUUUUAUUUGGGAAGAAACCCCCUUACGUGUAAGGGGCUGACGGUACCAAACGAAUAAGGACCGGCUAACUCCGUGCCAGCAGCCGCGGUAAUACGGAGGGUCCAAGCGUUAUCCGGAAUCAUUGGGUUUAAAGGGUGCGUAGGCGGUAGAUUAAGUCAGUGGUGAAAGCCUGCAGCUCAACUGUGGAACUGCCAUUGAUACUGAUUUACUUGAAUAUAGUCGAAGUGGGCGGAAUGUGUCAUGUAGCGGUGAAAUGCAUAGAUAUGACACAGAACACCAAUUGCGAAGGCAGCUCACUAGCCUAUUAUUGACGCUGAGGCACGAAAGCGUGGGUAGCGAACAGGAUUAGAUACCCUGGUAGUCCACGCCGUAAACGAUGAUCACUCGACAUUGGCGAUAAACAGUCAGUGUCCAAGCGAAAGUAUUAAGUGAUCCACCUGGGGAGUACGAUCGCAAGGUUGAAACUCAAAGGAAUUGACGGGGGCCCGCACAAGCGGUGGAGCAUGUGGUUUAAUUCGAUGAUACGCGAGGAACCUUACCAGGGCUUAAAUGCUGUCUGACAGGUCUGGAAACAGAUCUUUCUUCGGACAUACAGCAAGGUGCUGCAUGGCCGUCGUCAGCUCGUGCCGUGAGGUGUCGGGUUAAGUCCCAUAACGAGCGCAACCCCUAUCUUUAGUUGCUAGCAGGUAAUGCUGAGGACUCUAAAGAAACUGCCCGUGUAAGCGGAGAGGAAGGUGGGGAUGAUGUCAGGUCAUCACGGCCCUUACGUCCUGGGUUACACACGUGCUACAAUGGCAUAUACAAAGGGCAGCUACCUGGCGACAGGAUGCUAAUCUCUAAAGUAUGUCUCAGUUCGGAUCGGAGUCUGCAACUCGACUCCGUGAAGCUGGAAUCGCUAGUAAUCGGAUAUCAGCCAUGAUCCGGUGAAUACGUUCCCGGGCCUUGUACACACCGCCCGU
RNAcentral lists this ribosomal RNA (1389 nucleotides) under uncultured Flavobacteriales bacterium. RNAcentral's name for it is "bacterial SSU rRNA". It matches the Rfam family "Bacterial small subunit ribosomal RNA". The record is from RNAcentral. Lineage: Bacteria; Pseudomonadati; Bacteroidota; Flavobacteriia; Flavobacteriales.